GGGGGGUUAGUUUAUUUGUUGGGGUUAGAACACUGUUUUUGUAAAACAGAGGAGUUUUGUUUGUAACACCCCCCA
Molecule: transfer RNA, 75 nt
Filed under: Hypoderaeum sp. Hubei-2014
Lineage: Eukaryota; Metazoa; Platyhelminthes; Trematoda; Plagiorchiida; Echinostomatidae
Description: tRNA-Thr
Source: RNAcentral